RNAcentral lists this ribosomal RNA (447 nucleotides) under uncultured Pelagibacterales bacterium. RNAcentral describes it as "bacterial SSU rRNA". It matches the Rfam family "Bacterial small subunit ribosomal RNA", at positions 1069 to 1533 of the family's 1533-position model. The record is from RNAcentral. Lineage: Bacteria; Pseudomonadati; Pseudomonadota; Alphaproteobacteria; Candidatus Pelagibacterales.
GAGAUGUGGGUAGUCCGCACGAGCGCACCUCACUUUUAGUUGCCGUCAUUAAGUUGGGCACUCUGAAAGAACUGCCAGUGAUAAGCUGGAGGAAGGUGGGGAUGACGUCAAGUCCUCAUGGCCCUUACGUGUUGGGCUACACACGUGCUACAAUGGCAUCUACAACAGGAAGCAAAACGGCAACGUUAAGCAAAUCCCGAAAAGAUGCCUCAGUUCGGAUUGCACUCUGCAACUCGAGUGCAUGAAGCUGGAAUUACUAGUAAUCGUGGAUCAGCGUGCCACGGUGAAUGCGUUCCCGGGUCUUGUACACACCGCCCGUCACACCAUGGGAGUUGGUUCUACCUUAAGGCAAGGUUUUAAACCCUUGACCACGGUAUAGUCAGCGACUGGAGUGAAGUCGUAACAAGGUAGCCGUAGGGGAACCUGCGGCUGGAUUACCUCCUUUCU